This 76-nucleotide transfer RNA is filed under the name Paracoccus stylophorae. RNAcentral's name for it is "tRNA-Trp". It matches the Rfam family "tRNA". Rfam says of the family: Transfer RNA (tRNA) molecules are approximately 80 nucleotides in length. Their secondary structure includes four short double-helical elements and three loops (D, anti-codon, and T loops). The record is from RNAcentral. Lineage: Bacteria; Pseudomonadati; Pseudomonadota; Alphaproteobacteria; Rhodobacterales; Paracoccaceae. RNAcentral also lists the same sequence under 2 other names.
AGGGGUAUAGCUCAGUCGGUAGAGCAUCGGUCUCCAAAACCGAGGGUCGUGGGUUCGAGUCCCUCUGCCCCUGCCA